RNAcentral lists this ribosomal RNA (498 nucleotides) under uncultured bacterium. Its description in RNAcentral is "bacterial SSU rRNA". It matches the Rfam family "Bacterial small subunit ribosomal RNA", at positions 28 to 521 of the family's 1533-position model. The record is from RNAcentral.
GAUGAACGCUAGCGGCAGGCCUAACACAUGCAAGUCGAGGGGUAGAAUUAGCUUGCUAAUUUGAGACCGGCGCACGGGUGCGUAACGCGUAUGCAAUCUACCUUGUACAGGGGGAUAGCCCAGAGAAAUUUGGAUUAAUACCCCAUGGUAUAAUUAAUUUGCAUGAAUUGAUUAUUAAAGUUCCAACGGUACAAGAUGAGCAUGCGUCCCAUUAGCUAGUUGGUGUGGUAACGGCAUACCAAGGCGACGAUGGGUAGGGGUCCUGAGAGGGAGAUCCCCCACACUGGUACUGAGACACGGACCAGACUCCUACGGGAGGCAGCAGUGAGGAAUAUUGGUCAAUGGUCGGAAGACUGAACCAGCCAUGCCGCGUGCAGGAAGAAGGCCUUCGGGUUGUAAACCGCUUUAGUCCGGGAAAAGGGUGCGAGGAUAAUACCCUUGUGCUUUGAUGGUACUGGAAGAAUAAGCACCGGCUAACUACGUGCCAGCAGCCGCGGU